RNAcentral lists this ribosomal RNA (216 nucleotides) under uncultured bacterium. RNAcentral describes it as "partial 16S ribosomal RNA". It matches the Rfam family "Bacterial small subunit ribosomal RNA", at positions 32 to 238 of the family's 1533-position model. The record is from RNAcentral.
AAUCAACGCUGGCGGCGUGCCUAACACAUGCAAGUCGAACGCGAAAGGGGCUUCGGCCCUGAGUAGAGUGGCGUCCGGGUGAGUAACGCGUGGGUAAUCUACCUUGGGUGGGGAAUAACCCAGUCGAAAGGAUUGGCUAAUACCGGCAUAAUGCAGCGGCUCGACAUCGAGACAAGUUGUUAAAGCAGCAAUGCGCCUGAGGAGGAGCCUGCGUCU